GGUGGCAAGCGUUGUCCGGAAUUAUUGGGCGUAAAGGGCUCGCAGGCGGUUUCUUAAGUCUGAUGUGAAAGCCCCCGGCUCAACCGGGGAGGGUCAUUGGAAACUGGGGAACUUGAGUGCAGAAGAGGAGAGUGGAAUUCCACGUGUAGCGGUGAAAUGCGUAGAGAUGUGGAGGAACACCAGUGGCGAAGGCGACUCUCUGGUCUGUAACUGACGCUGAGGAGCGAAAGCGUGGGGAGCGAACAGGAUUAGAUACCCUGGUAGUCCACGCCGUAAACGAUGAGUGCUAAGUGUUAGGGGGUUUCCGCCCCUUAGUGCUGCAGCUAACGCAUUAAGCACUCCGCCUGGGGAGUACGGUCGCAAGACUGAAACUCAAAGGAAUUGACGGGGGCCCGCACAAGCGGUGGAGCAUGUGGUUAAUUCGAAGCACGCGAAGAACCUUACCAGGUCUUGACUCCUCUGACAUCCUAGAGAAGGACGUCCCUUCGGGGCAAAUGACGGUGUGAUGGUUGCCUCACUCGU
This 522-nucleotide ribosomal RNA is filed under the name Bacillus sp. (in: firmicutes). RNAcentral describes it as "bacterial SSU rRNA". It matches the Rfam family "Bacterial small subunit ribosomal RNA", at positions 530 to 1063 of the family's 1533-position model. Lineage: Bacteria; Bacillati; Bacillota; Bacilli; Caryophanales; Bacillaceae. The record is from RNAcentral.